Molecule: long non-coding RNA, 820 nt
Filed under: Fukomys damarensis (Damara mole-rat)
Lineage: Eukaryota; Metazoa; Chordata; Mammalia; Rodentia; Bathyergidae
Description: lncRNA (ENSFDAG00000026040.1)
Source: RNAcentral
CAGUUUCUGGCCUUCUACCAUGACGCCGCACCCUGUGUGGGGCUCAGCUGUGCGUCACGUAGGGGUCUCUCUGGCACCUUCGGAUUGGGACGCUGCCUCCGGGACGCUUGCUGAGGCAUCUGCUGUGUGACCAGCGACACACGCUCUGUACCCGCCUCACUCACAGCAGAGCACAUCACCCUUGAGCUCUCAGGCUGAGCUGGAAUCACUGUCUAUUGAUUGCCAUCCAAGCACGUGAAUCCCCGGCCCCAGAACAGCUAUCCUGCAAUGGUGUGGUCUGGAGCAACUCACUUGGCUCAGCUCAAACAAAUAUGGAGGAGUCUAUCACAUGACCUGCCCUGUGUGGAGCCCCCAAGCUGGAGAGAUCAGAAGUGAAUCACACAGCUUCACGCACCCUCCUGAGCCUCCUCAGAGCUGUAUACUGCAUGUAGAAGCAAUUCUAACUGUACGAUGCACGCUGACGGCCACCAUCAGCUCCUCUCCAAGAAGCAACCACAAGUGGAAGAAUCUGCCACUACUACCCUCUUCUUACUCUGGCUCUGGGGUUUUUCCAAGCCAGCACUGCCUUCAGGGAAGCUGUAUGAAGACUGGAGAAAUGAAAACUCUCAUGAAAACAAAACCACAUCAAAUCCAGAGAAGCUGGCUUGAACCUGGGCUUCAUGCAGCCUGGAGCUGUACUACCCACCUCCCCGCAAAUCCCUCUUUUUUUAAACAUUUAUUGAACCACUAAAGCUCUCUGGUAUGAAUACUAAUUUAAGGACAGAUGUGAAACAAAGUCCCAAGUACCGAUGCUAUGUGUAAAUGCACCCCAGAAGACAGG